This 69-nucleotide transfer RNA is filed under the name uncultured Eubacterium sp. It matches the Rfam family "tRNA". From Rfam's summary of the family: Transfer RNA (tRNA) molecules are approximately 80 nucleotides in length. Their secondary structure includes four short double-helical elements and three loops (D, anti-codon, and T loops). Lineage: Bacteria; Bacillati; Bacillota; Clostridia; Eubacteriales; Eubacteriaceae. The record is from RNAcentral.
GCGAAAUAGCCAAGUGGUAAGGCGGCUGACCGCAAAUCAGCCAUUCGUAGGUUCGAUUCCUACUUUCGC